This 1714-nucleotide long non-coding RNA is filed under the name Malus domestica (apple). RNAcentral's name for it is "long non-coding RNA (MDOM_LNC007890)". The record is from RNAcentral. Lineage: Eukaryota; Viridiplantae; Streptophyta; Magnoliopsida; Rosales; Rosaceae.
CUAAAUAUCUCAUUCUUAGGUAUUUGGUGCAUAUACUGUGCAUAGUGUUUCCUGAUCUGAUUUGUAUAAAAUUGCCACCACCUCUUCGUUCUUCGUUCGGUGAGGGUUUCAGGGAUGGGAGGCCAUGCCGCAUCUGUGAGAGAGAGAGAGAGAGAGAGAGAGAGAGAGAGAGAGAGAGGAGUGGGGAUCUCAGCGCCAUUGCUGCAGAUCAUCGAUUUCAUGAAUGGGAGAGGGGGUACAGUCAGAGAAAAGUAUGGGGGCCACCGGGAUUUGAGGAAGAGGGGUAUUUGGCUUAUUUCAUCUGAUUUCUCAAACGCUUUUGCUAAUGAAGAGUGUUCGGUUCUAUGAUUUCUUUUGUUUGCCUCCUUCUAUGUUGCUUUGUCAUUUUUAUUUUCCAGUGUUGGCUCAUGGAAAUUUGUAAAAAUGGCUGCAGUUUUCUGGGAAGGUUAUGUUUUUUGUGUAAUCUCAUUUUGGUAUUUGAUUGAUAGUCGGUGCUCAUAAUUUGGAUUUUUUUUAAUCAAAAUUGUUUGCAGAGAGAGAGAAAGAGGAGAAAGAGUUCGUUCGACGCUUAAACCAGAGCCAGGUAUAUCUCUCAUCUUGCUUUCUCUCUACGAUGUUCUAUCCCAAUUUCUCUUAGACAGUAAGGGUUUUGGUUUGCUUUCUUGGAUUAGAUUUGUAUAUAUCCCUUUGCAUCUCAGUUUUCUCUGAUUUAAUAGUAUAAUUUGGCUCUUGGUAUUCUAACUUUGCUUUCUUUGCAUCAAAGUUGUAUCUGGCUCUUGGUUUUCUUGAUCUAAUUUUUUUUUUUCUAUAAUUAGAUAAAUUAAGGAAAAAAUUUCUAUUAGUAUAUGAGUAUUCGAUUCUCAUAUAUCAUUUUCCUCCAUUUGACAUGAUUUUGGAUUAUUAGCACUUAGGCUUGUUUUCCUCAUUUUUGUUGAAAAAAGGCUUUUAGCUGAGUAAUUUACUAAUUUGGUUUUGAUUAUCAGCUAUAAGAGAAUGGGGGGUUUUAAUUGUAAUUAUUUUAAUGCGGCGAAAUUUUUUAGAUUUUACAGAUUUUUCCAGUUCAGGAUUAUAAAAAUUUAGGGCUUUUAUUUGUUGAUGUGAUUUCCACGUACUCUGAAUUCAAAUAGAAAUGCAAGGAUAUAUUAGAGUUUUAGUGUUUUCAGGCAUUCACGUGUUUGCUUAUUAUAGAUGAUGUAUUUCUGUAGUGCACUAAUAUUUGUUUAAAAAAAAUUAAUUAGUUUUUCCUCCCCGUUGUUUGCUAAGGCGCUUCUCGAGACGGCGUUGGAACGUGCAAGUGAUGAGGAUUCAAGGGAUGAGGAGGAAAUGCCAAAGGAGGAGGAUCAAAACGCGUUCUCUGUUAGGAUAAUUGGUGCCCUGAAUUCUAGAAAGUCUGCACUCACCACUCAUUAAUUAUAUGGUUUGUUCCUUUGGUUUUUAUGGUUUAAAGGUGUUUAAUUUGAUGGUGUUUUUGAUACAUUGUUGAAUAUAUUGUUAGUUUAGUUAUUGAUUGUACCGAGUGUGGUUUAUUCUUUUGAUAUUAAGUAGUUUUUUCAUAUCCCUGAACUCCUUUUCAAGUAGAGAAACGUGAGUUCUUCUAAGAUGUUUAAGUGAGUGUCAAUCAGAGAGUAUUUUGUUCGAAUAUCUGUCCAAACAAAAAAUUUAUUUGGAAUGAAAUAAAUGAAACAACUUUUGAGACUCCCACAUUUGAGAUGUG